AUGAACGCUGGCGGCGUGCCUAAUACAUGCAAGUCGAGCGAACAGACGAGGAGCUUGCUCCUCUGACGUUAGCGGCGGACGGGUGAGUAACACGUGGAUAACCUACCUAUAAGACUGGGAUAACUUCGGGAAACCGGAGCUAAUACCGGAUAAUAUAUUGAACCGCAUGGUUCAAUAGUGAAAGACGGUUUUGCUGUCACUUAUAGAUGGAUCCGCGCCGCAUUAGCGAGUUGGUAAGGUAACGGCUUACCAAGGCAACGAUGCGUAGCCGACCUGAGAGGGUGAUCGGCCACACUGGAGCUGAGACACGGUCCAGACUCCUACGGGAGGCAGCAGUAGGGAAUCUUCCGCAAUGGGCGAAAGCCUGACGGAGCAACGCCGCGUGAGUGAUGAAGGUCUUCGGAUCGUAAAACUCUGUUAUUAGGGAAUAACAAAUGUGUAAGUAACUAUGCACGUCUUGACGGUACCUAAUCAGAAAGCCACGGCUACCUACGU
This 495-nucleotide ribosomal RNA is filed under the name uncultured bacterium. Its description in RNAcentral is "partial 16S ribosomal RNA". It matches the Rfam family "Bacterial small subunit ribosomal RNA", at positions 29 to 506 of the family's 1533-position model. The record is from RNAcentral.